GGGCGACAGCCUGAUCCAGCCAUGCCGCGUGCAGGAAGACUGCCCUAUGGGUUGUAAACAGCAUUUAUACGGGAAGAAACACCCCCUCGUGAGGGGGCUUGACGGUACCGUAUGAAUAACGAUCGGCUAACUCCGUGCCAGCAGCCGCGGUAAUACGGAGGAUCCAAGCGUUAUCCGGUAUCAUUGGGUUUAAAGGGUCCGUAGGCGGGUUAAUAAGUCAGUGGUGAAAGUCUGCAGCUGAACUGUAGAAUUGCCAUUGAUACUGUUAACCUUGAGUAAUUAUGAAGUGGUUAGAAUAUCUAGUGUAGCGGUGAAAUGCAUAGAUAUUACAUAGAAUACCGAUUGCGAAGGCAGAUCACAAAUAAUUUACUGACGCUGAUGGACGAAAGCGUAGGUAGCGAACAGGAUUAGAUACCCUCGUAGUCUACGCCGUAAACGAUGGUUACUAGCUGUUUGGUCUAAUUAAGGACUGAGUGGCUUAGCGAAAGUGAUAAGUAACCCACCUGGGGAGUACGUUCGCAAGAAUGAAA
RNAcentral lists this ribosomal RNA (530 nucleotides) under uncultured Salinimicrobium sp. RNAcentral's name for it is "bacterial SSU rRNA". It matches the Rfam family "Bacterial small subunit ribosomal RNA", at positions 373 to 899 of the family's 1533-position model. Lineage: Bacteria; Pseudomonadati; Bacteroidota; Flavobacteriia; Flavobacteriales; Flavobacteriaceae. The record is from RNAcentral.